CAUGUCCUUUUGAUUUUAAUUUAAGGUCUGAUCUGCUCAAUGAAUUUUAAAUAGCCGCAGUAUUUUGACUGUGCAAAGGUAGCAUAAUAAUUAGUUUCUUGAUUAGAAACUGGAAUGAAUGAUUAGACAAGAAAAUUACUGUCUCUUUUUUAAAUUUAUUGAAUUUUAUUUUUAAGUGAAAAAGCUUAAAUUUUUAUAAAAGACGAGAAGACCCUAUAGAGUUUAAUAUUUCUUAUAAAUAAAUUAUUAGAAUUAUUAUUUUAUAAGUUUUAUUUAAUUGGGGUGAUUGGGAGAUUAAAAAAAUUCUUUUAAAUAAUAAUUGUUAGUAUACAAAUUUUAUAUCUAUUAUUAAUAAAUAUAAAAUAAAUUACCUUAGGGAUAACAGCGUAAUUUUUCUUUAAAGUUCUUAUUGUAAGGAAAGUUUGCGACCUCGAUGUUGGAUUAAAAUUAAUUUUUGGUGCAAUAACUUAAAAAUUAGGUCUGUUCGACCUUUAAAAUUUUACAUGAUCUGAGUUUAAACCGGUGUGAGCCAGGUUGGAUUCUAUCUUUAGAAAUAUAGUAUAUUUUAGUACGAAAGGACCAAGUAUAUGUUAAAUUAAUUG
RNAcentral lists this ribosomal RNA (602 nucleotides) under Cautires sp. UPOL A00085. RNAcentral describes it as "partial 16S ribosomal RNA". It matches the Rfam family "Bacterial large subunit ribosomal RNA", at positions 1816 to 2714 of the family's 2925-position model. The record is from RNAcentral. Lineage: Eukaryota; Metazoa; Arthropoda; Insecta; Coleoptera; Lycidae.